CCCUUAGAUGUCCUGGGCCGCACGCGCGCUACACUGAGUGUCUGAGAUACGAGUCUGCCUGGUCCGGCAAGGUCUAGGUAAUCGCUAAAAGACACAUCAUGCUUGGGAUAGAUUAUUGCAAAUAUUAAUCUUGAACGCGGAAUUCCUAGUAAGCGCAAGUCAACAGCUUGCGUUGAUUACGUCCCUGCCCUUUGUACACACCGCCCGUCGCUACUACUGAUUGGAUGUUUAAGCGAGGUUCUCGAACUGCUAGCGACUUAGCUUCGGUGAGGUCGCAGUGUGGGAAGUGAACCUAGCUUUGGUGUCUAGAGGAAGUAAAAGUCGUAACA
This 329-nucleotide ribosomal RNA is filed under the name uncultured eukaryote. RNAcentral describes it as "partial 18S ribosomal RNA". It matches the Rfam family "Eukaryotic small subunit ribosomal RNA", at positions 1470 to 1796 of the family's 1831-position model. The record is from RNAcentral.